RNAcentral lists this ribosomal RNA (456 nucleotides) under uncultured bacterium. RNAcentral's name for it is "bacterial SSU rRNA". It matches the Rfam family "Bacterial small subunit ribosomal RNA", at positions 28 to 484 of the family's 1533-position model. The record is from RNAcentral.
GAUGAACGCUGGCGGCGUGCUUAACACAUGCAAGUCGAACGAAGCACUUCAAUCGAUUUCUUCGGAAUGAAGUUUUAGUGACUGAGUGGCGGACGGGUGAGUAACGCGUGGGUAACCUGCCUCACACAGGGGGAUAACAGUUGGAAACGGCUGCUAAUACCGCAUAAGCGCACAGUACCGCAUGGUACAGUGUGAAAAACUCCGGUGGUGUGAGAUGGACCCGCGUCUGAUUAGCUAGUUGGCAGGGCAAUGGCCUACCAAGGCGACGAUCAGUAGCCGACCUGAGAGGGUGACCGGCCACAUUGGGACUGAGACACGGCCCAAACUCCUACGGGAGGCAGCAGUGGGAAUAUUGCGACAAUGGGGGAAACCCUGAUGCAGCGACGCCGCGUGAGCGAAGAAGUAUUCGGUAUGUAAAGCUCUAUCAGCAGGGAANAGAAAUGACGGUACCUGACU